UUUGGCAGACAAGGCAAUCGCGCGCAAGGCUCAUACCCUUUUGCGAGGAAAGUCCGGACUCCUAUCGAACAUGAUGCCUGCGAAGAACCGAUUAGAUCAGUCUAAUCAAACCAACUCAGGGCGAUUCUUAAAACCAAUUGACGGAACAGUGCCACAGAAAAUGACCGCCUGACAUAGUAAAAUAUGCCGGGUAAGGGUGAAAAUGUGUGGUAAAAGCACACGAAUGGGCUCAGCAAUGGGUCUGUUGGGCAAACCCCUUCAGGAGCAAGACAAAAUAAGCAAGCAGGGCGUUCGAUCCCUUACUUGCGGGUAUGUCGCAGAGAUAAAUGGUUGCCACUGCAAAGCAAUUUGCAGCUACAGAAUCCGGCUUAUGCUCUGCCAAAUUUU
Molecule: RNase P RNA, 387 nt
Filed under: candidate division TM6 bacterium RIFCSPHIGHO2_12_FULL_38_8
Lineage: Bacteria
Description: RNase P RNA component class A
Rfam family: Bacterial RNase P class A
About the family: Ribonuclease P (RNase P) is a ubiquitous endoribonuclease, found in archaea, bacteria and eukarya as well as chloroplasts and mitochondria.
Source: RNAcentral